UUGAAAUCCACACUUAAUUGCUGUUUCUGACUGUCUUCCUUCAUUUUGCUUUCAAAAGUUGUUUGCCUGAGGAUAUACGUGAUUUGGAUCUUUGUCCUCACUUCCCUGACCUUUCCCUCCUGCUUCCCAGCAGCGCUGCCAGAAUCCCAGGUGGAGGAGCACCACGUAGGAGCCACGUGAAUCAGGUGACAGAUUAUUUGCUCAGGUAUCACUCCCUUUGCCAAGAGACAUUUUACCCCUGGGUAGGUGUGGGGUUCAUCACCUGCUCUGUGAGCACACCAGGAACCAGGUGACUCACGACAUGAAGGAAGUGUUUGCAGUAAGAGUUGGGAACGUGGCAGCCCUUCUCUCCUGGACAAAGUGUUUGGGG
This 370-nucleotide long non-coding RNA is filed under the name Parus major (Great Tit). RNAcentral describes it as "lncRNA (ENSPMJG00000002449.1)". The record is from RNAcentral. Lineage: Eukaryota; Metazoa; Chordata; Aves; Passeriformes; Paridae.